Long non-coding RNA from Oxyura jamaicensis (ruddy duck), 871 nucleotides. RefSeq lists it as uncharacterized. The transcript is spliced from 4 exons. The record is from RefSeq and is a predicted model, not a curated record. NCBI's taxonomy places the organism in Eukaryota, Metazoa, Chordata, Aves, Anseriformes, Anatidae.
ACCCUUUCAUAUUUGAUCUCUUAUAUUUCAGUGAAAAAAAUAUGGAUUAUAUCUCAUGCAGAGUGAGACCCUUGCCUGACUAGUGAGUUAUUGAGGCUUUUAAAUUCUAAAUAAAAAUGUUCUGAAAAUAUUUGUCCUCAGUACAAUUAGGCACCUGAAUAAUCCUAAAUUUGGCCAAAUUGAGACAGUAUUAUUGAAGAAUGUAAGGCUUAAAGUUUUGUAGAUUUAUUUAGUUGUGUAUUUAGGCCUGUAGUUAACCAAAAAAAAAAAAAAAAAAAAAGGUCAUAAGGUCAUAUGUUUGUUAUACCAUAUCUGACAAAUGAAUUACUUUGAAGAUGUAAUUAUUGAAGUAAUAAAAAUGAUUAGCAUUUCAGGUUCCUAAAGACACUAGCCAGGCUCCCUUGGGGUCUCCUCAGCCCUGCCCGUGCACACAGGACCCCGUUUCAGCUCAUCCCAGAACUAUUGUCCCAUAGGAGACAACAAGCUCAUCAGAGUUAUGGCUUCUGACUUAGAGAGUAUUAAUCACCACUGGGAGAGCACCACCAGGGUAAAGUGACAACACCGACACACUUCUGCUGCUGUGUUUUAUGAAGAAGACCAUUAUCAAGUACAUUUUUUUCUUCCUUGAAGUUGAACACAUUGACUUCUGAUGAUUCUGCUUAAAUUUCCCUGAAGUCCAGACAAACAGAUGAUAACUGCCACCAGGACAAUGGAGUGAAGCUUUGUGUUAGCUAAAGGACACACAGAAUCUCAUUUUCCAAACCUGGAAAAUAAGCACCAGAAUGACUCAUCCACCAGAGUUAUGCACAGCGUGGAAGUGGUAUUUUUUUCUAGUGUUUCUUGAGCUGGCACAGAACAGAGAAAUCUGUUA